ACCAGACUCCUACGGGAGGCAGCAGUGGGGAAUAUUGCACAAUGGGGGAAACCCUGAUGCAGCGACGCCGCGUGAGCGAAGAAGUAUUUCGGUAUGUAAAGCUCUCUCAGCAGGGAAGAAAAAAUGACGGUACCUGACUAAGAAGCACCGACUAAAUACGUGCCAACAGCCGCGGUAAUACGUAUGGUGCAAGCGUUAUCCGGAUUUACUGGGUGUAAAGGGAGCGCAGGCUGUACGGCAAGUCUGAUGUGAAAGCCCGGGGCUCAACCCCGGUACUGCAUUGGAAACUGUCGGACUAGAGUGUCGGAGGGGUAAGUGGGAUUCCUAGUGUAGCGGUGAAAUGCGUAGAUAUUAGGAGGAACACCAGUGGCGAAGGCGGCUUACUGGGCGAUUAAUGACGCUGAGGCUCGAAAGCGUGGGGAGCAAACAGGAUGAGAUCCCGUGUA
RNAcentral lists this ribosomal RNA (446 nucleotides) under uncultured bacterium. RNAcentral's name for it is "bacterial SSU rRNA". It matches the Rfam family "Bacterial small subunit ribosomal RNA", at positions 330 to 791 of the family's 1533-position model. The record is from RNAcentral.